GGGGAAUAUUGCACAAUGGAGGAAACUCUGAUGCAGCAACGCCGCGUGAAGGAAGAAGGUUUUCGGAUCGUAAACUUCUAUCAAAAGGGACGAAACAAAUGACGGUACCUUAAUAAGAAGCACCGGCUAACUACGUGCCAGCAGCCGCGGUAAUACGUAGGGGGCAAGCGUUAUCCGGAAUUACUGGGUGUAAAGGGAGCGUAGGCGGCAUGGUAAGUUAGAUGUGAAAGCCCGGGGCUUAACCCCGAGGAUUGCAUUUAAAACUAUCAAGCUAGAGUACAGGAGAGGAAAGCGGAAUUCCUAGUGUAGCGGUGAAAUGCGUAGAUAUUAGGAAGAACACCAGUGGCGAAGGCGGCUUUCUGGACUGAAACUGACGCUGAUGCUCGAAAGCGUGGGGAGCGAACA
RNAcentral lists this ribosomal RNA (405 nucleotides) under uncultured Clostridium sp. RNAcentral describes it as "bacterial SSU rRNA". It matches the Rfam family "Bacterial small subunit ribosomal RNA", at positions 356 to 774 of the family's 1533-position model. Lineage: Bacteria; Bacillati; Bacillota; Clostridia; Eubacteriales; Clostridiaceae. The record is from RNAcentral.